This 502-nucleotide ribosomal RNA is filed under the name Veillonella parvula. RNAcentral describes it as "bacterial SSU rRNA". It matches the Rfam family "Bacterial small subunit ribosomal RNA", at positions 28 to 500 of the family's 1533-position model. The record is from RNAcentral. Lineage: Bacteria; Bacillati; Bacillota; Negativicutes; Veillonellales; Veillonellaceae.
GACGAACGCUGGCGGCGUGCUUAACACAUGCAAGUCGAACGAAGAGCGACGGAAGCUUGCUUCUAUCAAUCUUAGUGGCGAACGGGUGAGUAACGCGUGAUCAACCUGCCCUUCAGAGGGGGACAACAGUUGGAAACGACUGCUAAUACCGCAUACGAUCUAAUCUCGGCAUCGAGGAUGGAUGAAAGGUGGCCUCUACAUGUAAGCUAUCACUGAAGGAGGGGAUUGCGUCUGAUUAGCUAGUUGGAGGGGUAACGGCCCACCAAGGCGAUGAUCAGUAGCCGGUCUGAGAGGAUGAACGGCCACAUUGGGACUGAGACACGGCCCAGACUCCUACGGGAGGCAGCAGUGGGGAAUCUUCCGCAAUGGACGAAAGUCUGACGGAGCAACGCCGCGUGAGUGAUGACGGCCUUCGGGUUGUAAAGCUCUGUUAAUCGGGACGAAAGGCCUUCUUGCAAAUAGUAGAAGGAUUGACGGUACCGGAAUAGAAAGCCACGGCUAA